CGAACCUAGGUCAGGCGGGACUACCCGAUGAGUAUAAGCAUAUAAAUAAGCGGAGGAAAAGCAACUUACAAGGAUUCCCCUAGUAACGACGAGCGACCCGGGAAUAUCCUAUCCUUAGAAUCGGGCGGCUCCGUCGUCCGAAUUGUAGUCUGGAGAAGCGUCCUCAACGGCGGACCGGGCCCAAAUCCCCUGUAAGGGGGCUCCAGAGAGGGUGAGAGCCCCAUUGUACCUGGACCAUGUCGCACUACGAGGCACUGUCUACGAGUCGGGUUGUUUGGGAAUGUAACCCAAAUCGGGCGGUGAAUUCCGUCCAAGGCUAAAUACGGGCGAGAGACCGAUAGAGAACAAGUACCACAAGGGAAAGAUGAAAAGGACUUUGAAAAGAGAGUCAAAAAGUGCUUAAAAUUGUUGGGAGGGAAGCGGAUGGGGGCCAGUGAUGCGCCCCAGUCGGAUAUGGAAUGGUGUUGAGCGGUUCGCUGAUCGACUUUGGGCAUGGACCGACAUGGAUUGGGGUGUGCGACUGUGACGACCCGGCCAGUUGUCUCAUGAGUUACCGCUCUAUUUUCUACAUUUAUGCUUCUUUAUGCUUUAUUAUUCGUGUUUUAUGGUAUUGGGUUGGUCGGAUCGAAUCCGGAAAGGAUUUGGCAAGGUUUGAAACACUUAAUCUCUUUAGAGUGAGU
Molecule: non-coding RNA, 680 nt
Filed under: Nicotiana sylvestris (wood tobacco)
Lineage: Eukaryota; Viridiplantae; Streptophyta; Magnoliopsida; Solanales; Solanaceae
Also listed under: 1 other name
Description: Eukaryotic large subunit ribosomal RNA
Rfam family: Eukaryotic large subunit ribosomal RNA
Source: Rfam by way of RNAcentral